UACGUAGGGUGCAAGCGUUGUCCGGAAUUAUUGGGCGUAAAGAGCUCGUAGGCGGUUUGUCGCGUCUGGUGUGAAAACUCAAGGCUCAACCUCGAGCUUGCAUCGGGUGCGGGCAGACUAGAGUGUGGUAGGGGUGACUGGAAUUCCUGGUGUAGCGGUGGAAUGCGCAGAUAUCAGGAGGAACACCGAUGGCGAAGGCAGGUCACUGGGCCACUACUGACGCUGAGGAGCGAAAGCAUGGGGAGCGAACAGG
Molecule: ribosomal RNA, 253 nt
Filed under: uncultured bacterium
Lineage: Bacteria
Description: partial 16S ribosomal RNA
Rfam family: Bacterial small subunit ribosomal RNA
Source: RNAcentral